This 552-nucleotide ribosomal RNA is filed under the name Hanseniaspora thailandica (nom. inval.). RNAcentral describes it as "LSU rRNA". It matches the Rfam family "Eukaryotic large subunit ribosomal RNA", at positions 52 to 606 of the family's 3401-position model. The record is from RNAcentral. Lineage: Eukaryota; Fungi; Ascomycota; Saccharomycetes; Saccharomycodales; Saccharomycodaceae.
GGAGGAAAAGAAACCAACUGGGAUUACCUUAGUAACGGCGAGUGAAGCGGUAAAAGCUCAAAUUUGAAAUCUGGUACUUUCAGUGCCCGAGUUGUAAUUUGUAGAAUUUGUCUUUGAUUAGGUCCUUGUCUAUGUUCCUUGGAACAGGACGUCAUAGAGGGUGAGAAUCCCGUUUGGCGAGGAUACCUUUUCUCUGUAAGACUUUUUCGAAGAGUCGAGUUGUUUGGGAAUGCAGCUCAAAGUGGGUGGUAAAUUCCAUCUAAAGCUAAAUAUUGGCGAGAGACCGAUAGCGAACAAGUACAGUGAUGGAAAGAUGAAAAGAACUUUGAAAAGAGAGUGAAAAAGUACGUGAAAUUGUUGAAAGGGAAGGGCAUUUGAUCAGACAUGGUGUUUUUUUAAUGUGCAAGUCUCUCGUGGACAUGUGCCUCUGGAAAUUAACACUGGGCCAACAUCAGUUCUGGCGGCAGGAUAAAUCAUUAAGAAUGUAGCUACUUCGGUAGUGUUAUAGCUUUUUGGAAUACUGCCAGCUGGGAUUGAGGACUGCGCUCGGCA